GAGGGGAUAGCUCAGUGGCCAAGCGUGUGCUUAGCAAGCACAAGGUCCUGGGUUCAAUCCCCAGUGCCUCCA
Molecule: transfer RNA, 72 nt
Filed under: Camelus bactrianus (Bactrian camel)
Lineage: Eukaryota; Metazoa; Chordata; Mammalia; Artiodactyla; Camelidae
Also listed under: 2 other names
Rfam family: tRNA
About the family: Transfer RNA (tRNA) molecules are approximately 80 nucleotides in length.
Source: Rfam by way of RNAcentral